AUUGAACGCUGGCGGCAGGCCUAACACAUGCAAGUCGAGCGGAAGAAGGGAGCUUGCUCCUGGAUUCAGCGGCGGACGGGUGAGUAAUGCCUAGGAAUCUGCCUGGUAGUGGGGGAUAACGUCCGGAAACGGGCGCUAAUACCGCAUACGUCCUGAGGGAGAAAGUGGGGGAUCUUCGGACCUCACGCUAUCAGAUGAGCCUAGGUCGGAUUAGCUAGUUGGUGGGGUAAAGGCCUACCAAGGCGACGAUCCGUAACUGGUCUGAGAGGAUGAUCAGUCACACUGGAACUGAGACACGGUCCAGACUCCUACGGGAGGCAGCAGUGGGGAAUAUUGGACAAUGGGCGAAAGCCUGAUCCAGCCAUGCCGCGUGUGUGAAGAAGGUCUUCGGAUUGUAAAGCACUUUAAGUUGGGAGGAAGGGCAGUAAGUUAAUACCUUCCUGUUUUGACGUUACCAACAGAAUAAGCACCGGCUAACUUCGUG
RNAcentral lists this ribosomal RNA (484 nucleotides) under uncultured bacterium. RNAcentral describes it as "partial 16S ribosomal RNA". It matches the Rfam family "Bacterial small subunit ribosomal RNA", at positions 30 to 507 of the family's 1533-position model. The record is from RNAcentral.